ACCAGGUCAGUACCUGGAUGGGAAACUGCCUGGGAAUAUCGGGU
RNAcentral lists this ribosomal RNA (44 nucleotides) under Eptatretus burgeri (inshore hagfish). The record is from RNAcentral. Lineage: Eukaryota; Metazoa; Chordata; Myxini; Myxiniformes; Myxinidae.